AUAAAUAAGCGGAGGAAAAGAAACCAAACGGGAUUCCCUUAGUAACGGCGAGCGAAAAGGGAAAAGUCCAGCACCAAGUCUUGACAUCUAUGGUGUUCAAGAGAUGCGGUGUUAAUGUAUCGACCCAUCGUGCACUGUUCCACAUUUCAAGUUCCUACGACUGGGACUUCCAGAGCGGGUGUAAGACCCAUAGAGAUGAGGAACCAGUGUAUGCUGAGCGAUGCAUUCUAGAGUCAGGUUGCUUGAGAGUGCAGCUUAAAGUCGGUGGUAAACUCCAUCCAAGACUAAAUAUUACAGCGAGACCGAUAGCAAACAAGUACCGUGAGGGAAAGUUGCAAAGCACUUUGAAGAGAGAGUCCAAAAGUACGUGAAACCACUGGGAGGCAAACAGAUGGAACCACGAAGUGUGCGCCUCGGUCGAUUCAAUCAUCACCAUUUGUCAGUUGUUUGAGAUCAGGAUCUUUUCGGAGAUUGAUUUCCAGCAAYUAUGAUGRAUGGUGUUGGUGCAUUUCGUGCCGGGGAUGCUAAGCCACGUUCAACUAGAGUUGGGACGGCUGUAAGAAAGAAUCCGAGAAAGGUGCCCGUCACGUGCUUGCAUUUGACGGUGUUAUAGUCUUGGAUUGGCACCGUCACCUAACAUACUGGUUGAUGCAAAUUCUCCAUUUGGAGUUGAACCAUAUCUGCCUGUGACUGUUAGUCGAUGUUGAGUAAUGUUCUUUGCGUAUCUUUCGAUGCGAAAAGACUUUGCGAAGAUGUCGGCUAAUGGCUGCUUGCGUGAUAUGGUGGAACUGUGGCGCGAGUAGGUCGGUCUCCAUCUGACCCGUCUUGAAACACGGACCAAGGAGCCUAUCAUAUACGCGAGUCGCUCGGUCUUGUUUAGGCCUGGGAGGCGUAAUGAAAGUAAAGUUACUAGGCUUCGGCUGCAGUAACGGCUCGCCCACUUUGUUUAUUGGCAAUAUGGCGAAGCUGGAGCGUAUACGAUGGUACCCGAAAGAUGGUGAACUAUGCCUGGGCAAGACGAAGCCAGAGGAAACUCUGGUGGAGGUCUGUAGCGAUUCUGACGUGCAAAUCGAUCGUCAGACCUGGGUAUAGGGGCGAAAGACUAAUCGAACCAUCUAGUAGCUGGUUCCCUCCGAAGUUUCCCUCAGGAUAGCAGGCGUUUAUUUCKKGCAGUCUCAUCCGGUAAAGCUAAUGAUUAGAGGUCUUGGGGUUGAAACGACCUCAACCUAUUCUCAAACUUUAAAUGGGUGAGAUGGUUGACUUUCUUGAUUGAAGCCAACCAUUUGGAUGCAAAUGCCUAGUGGGCCAUUUUUGGUAAGCAGAACUGGCGCUGUGGGAUGAACCAAACGUCGAGAUAAGGCAUCAAAUGCGUACGCUCAUCAGACCCCAUGAAAGGUGUUGGUUGCUAUAGACAGCAGGACGGUGGCCAUGGAAGUCGGAAUCCGCUAAGGAGUGUGUAACAACUCACCUGCCGAAGCAACUAGCCCUGAAAAUGGACGAUGCUGUAGCGUGGAGCCGAUACUCGACCGUUAURAUGAUUUAAAUUACGAUAUCAUAACGAGUAGGAGGGCCGCAGUGUUAGCGUUGAAGGUGUCCGGCGUAAGCCGGCCUGGAGCUAUCAUUGUU
RNAcentral lists this ribosomal RNA (1626 nucleotides) under Proctophyllodes aff. dendroicae AD1147. RNAcentral describes it as "eukaryotic LSU rRNA". It matches the Rfam family "Eukaryotic large subunit ribosomal RNA", at positions 42 to 1443 of the family's 3401-position model. The record is from RNAcentral. Lineage: Eukaryota; Metazoa; Arthropoda; Arachnida; Sarcoptiformes; Proctophyllodidae.